GGGUAGAUACACCAGCAGUCCAGA
RNAcentral lists this non-coding RNA (24 nucleotides) under Rattus norvegicus (Norway rat). Lineage: Eukaryota; Metazoa; Chordata; Mammalia; Rodentia; Muridae. The record is from RNAcentral.